This 1350-nucleotide long non-coding RNA is filed under the name Heterocephalus glaber (naked mole-rat). RNAcentral's name for it is "lncRNA (ENSHGLG00100050964.1)". Lineage: Eukaryota; Metazoa; Chordata; Mammalia; Rodentia; Bathyergidae. The record is from RNAcentral.
CCCCACUCACUGAGCUGAGCAGUGGAUUGUUUUCCAGUUGAUGAAGAUGUACAUCUUAACCUCUGCUCCAUCCUUGCACCUGCAUGAUGCCCAUCCCAGAGACCUCAAUGAGCAGAGCCCGAGCUGAGGUUUUCAAACUCCAGGAGAGCAGAGAAUCUCUUGAAGAGCUCGUGUCAGGGACACCUCUACAGAAUCAAGCUCUGGUGCUGAGACCCAAGCCCCCCAUGUGACUGUGAAUGAAGGUCCCCAGAGAGGGACUGCUCAGUGUGAACCUGCAUACCUCCCUCCUUUCCAUUGCUGUUCCAUUUCAGUCCUGCACCGACUCAGCAUACCUUCAUCUCUGCAGAUGGUUUUUAUCAACAGCCAAAGAGUCAAGAACAAGCUUUUAGAAGGCUCUGUUUCCAAGUGUGAGAUGGAUUGUGGAAUUGUACUUGCCACUUUCUUGCCUAAGAGAGAGAUUAGACUUGGGGAACAUGAGAUUCUUGCUGGGCCCUUUAGAGAACAUCCUCAUUUGGAGAACCUCAACCACCAGAAGAGACAUUAGGAAGAUGCAUCAGUAGAAGCCUUCAAACACAAGCUUGGAGAAUAGCAAGUGAUCUGAAGGCAAGAUGCAAUGGAGCAUGUGUGUCAUCUUCACAAAGUUAGGGGACCCUCACUGGCUGGCAGAAAACAAAUGUAAAAGUGAGUCUCACUUCAGGGAAGGCUGAGACAGGGAGACUGAGAAUGUCACGGAAGAGACAAUGGAAAGUGAAGCUGAGAGCAUAGCUCAGAGGCAGUGGAACAGGCAUGAUUAGAAGAGAAGAUGUUAGACAGCUUGGUAGCAUCUGUGGCAGGAACCUGCCCCAGAGUAAAUGAGCACUGCCAAGGAAAAGAAGACAAUCCAAGUUCAGCAGCCAGCACAAGCAUCCACGUCCAGCUCCAACCUCAGAAGCAAUAUUUAUACUGCCUAAGAGCAGUGGUGAGCACCAAGGUGACUUACGACCUGUGUCCCUGGGAAUAUCCAGGUCUGGACACUUGAGAACACUUGGGUUUCCCAGGAAACACCCCCCACCCCGGAGACUGGUCACCCUGGUUAGCACUGAUUCAAACUACACUGCAGCUUGGGGACAGGUAUCCUCUUUGCAUGAUCCCUGAAGUUCUGACCAUUUCAUUCCUACCUCAUAGACUACUUCAGAACUCACAUAAUUGACAGUGGCAGCAAGUGCAGUUCUUUCUGCUCAAUUGUCUGUGAAGGAGGUGCAGUACCUUAAGACCUAGUCCUGAAUUGACGCAAAGAGCAAUGCUUUUACAUCUACAAAAGGGUGAACAUUCUCCCUGUUCAUUAGUAUACAGGGUCACCCAUUUGAGGGG